GACGAACGCUGGCGGCGUGCUUAACACAUGCAAGUCGAACGCUGAAGCUCAGCUUUUGUUGGGUGGAUGAGUGGCGAACGGGUGAGUAACACGUGAGUAACCUGCCUCCUUCUUUGGGAUAACGCCCGGAAACGGGUGCUAAUACUGGAUAUUCACUGGUCUUCGCAUGGGGGUUGGUGGAAAGGGUUUUUCUGGUGGGGGAUGGGCUCGCGGCCUAUCAGCUUGUUGGUGGGGUGAUGGCCUACCAAGGCUUUGACGGGUAGCCGGCCUGAGAGGGUGACCGGUCACAUUGGGACUGAGAUACGGCCCAGACUCCUACGGGAGGCGGCAGUGGGGAAUAUUGCACAAUGGGCGCAAGCCUGAUGCAGCGACGCCGCGUGAGGGAUGGAGGCCUUCGGGUUGUGAACCUCUUUCGCUCAUGGUCAAGCCGCAACAAUGGUUGUGGUGAGGGUAGUGGGUAAAGAAGCGCCGGCUAACUACGUG
This 483-nucleotide ribosomal RNA is filed under the name uncultured bacterium. RNAcentral's name for it is "partial 16S ribosomal RNA". It matches the Rfam family "Bacterial small subunit ribosomal RNA", at positions 28 to 507 of the family's 1533-position model. The record is from RNAcentral.